Molecule: long non-coding RNA, 2370 nt
Organism: Ictalurus punctatus (channel catfish)
Lineage: Eukaryota; Metazoa; Chordata; Actinopteri; Siluriformes; Ictaluridae
Exons: 5
Source: RefSeq, a predicted model, not a curated record
UGUAUGUAAACUGAAUAAAUGAUAAAUUCAUUAGUAAUUAAUAAAUAUUUUACUUCGUUUUUAUAUUGCAGGUGCUUCAUCAAUAGCUCAAGGCAGUGUGGUUGUUGUUAAUUUUCAAUGGAUCAGCAAGAUAUUCUGGUCAAACACUACAGACUUCAUCACAGGCAAGCCGAUAGAGUUUCUUUUCCCUGUUUACAUCCAGAGUGCAUUUGUACAGGGUUUUAAAAACCCAUCUAUGGAGAGCACAUCCUAAAACAAACAAAUGUACUCAAAAUGCCACUAUUCAGUGUGAAUUCUGUGAAUUUAAAGACAUUUGCUCUCAGGCAACAUUUCUCCAACAUUUAGGAAGUCAUUUGAAAAAUCUUGAUUUUUAAAAAACUGUAAUUUUGGCAGUAACAACCACAUCACUUUCAGAACUCACAAGACCGAGAAACACAAAAACCACAUCUAUAGACAUCUGUUUGUGUUGUAAAUAGUACAGAUAAUGAGUUUGAUACAGCUUCAUUUUCACAAAGUGUACCAGUUCAAGCUGAAGAAAUACAGGCAGAUGGUCAAAUUUUAGACUUUGACCCUGAAGACAGUCAGCCGAUACUUGAAAUGAAAAAAAGAAAUAUGAGCUUGACACUUUUGAACUCCAAGAUGGAAGUGACUUUCUCCUUGAGAAGAAAGGAAAUUGUGCAGGACCAGCCUCUGGUAUCAACAAUUAAUCAAAGAUGGCCAGGGAUGUUUUUUUCAAGAAGAGACUCUUUUACGAUUACCCACAAGUUCAUUCAGAGUUUUUACGCAUCAACCGUAUCGACGUGAAGUUAACAUUCCCGACAUCACUGGACAAUCACACCAGGGGGUUGCUGAAAAUGUACAGAAUCAAACAAGACAAACAGGAGGUGCUAACAUGAAAGAACUUCUGGAGAAACUGGAUGCACAGACCCAAGAUUAAACUGCACAUCGGAGGUCUAAUGUUCUUCGUGGUCUUCCCUUGUACUUGAGAGCCAACUUCAAUUUCAAAGACCAUUCUGGAAUACUUCAGUGAGACUGAUACAGAAUAGCAUGGAUCUUAUACGCAGACAUAACAAGGAUACUGAGGCACUGGGGCCACACACAAAGGACAUGAAAAUGGGAAUCCUUGAAGCGGUGAAUGACUGCACUGCCUAUUCAGGAUCACAUCCCAUGGUGGUUAAUGUGGCAGUAGCACUGGAAGAGGAAGUAGUUAUGGACACUUUGGGAGACUUCACAAAUGCCUUCACUCUCCUCUUCGGUCUGCUAUAUGCUCUUAAUAUAGAGUAUCCCAAGGACCUAAGGUACACUUUCGAGGCAGCCCAGAAGAUCUUUCUGAAGCUAGGAAAUGAGCUGCAAGAGUGCAGUCUCUAAAGAACAAGUUAUUGGAGGUAUAAUUAGAAUAAUGCAUGCCAAUGACAAUGCCACACUACACCACACACACACACACACACACACACACACACACACACACACACACACACACACACACACACACACACACACACACACACACACACACACACACACACACACACACACACACACACACACACCCCGAUUUUGCCCACACUGCAGUUUGGAGCAGAUGUUUAUGACAGAAUUUUUUGGUGGAAUUGUUGAAAUUAAUUUUGAAUUGUUUAACUUUUGGACCAGAUGUUUCUGAUUUUUUUGGCAGAAUUGUUUAACUUUUACUUUAAAUGUAAUGGAAUUAACAGCUUUAUGGGGUAUGGUGUAAAAUCUUUCAAAUUAAACUAUAAGAAAAGAUUUUUUUUGUUUAAUCUAAAACAGAAAUUUGAUUUUCAAGUAAAGCUUCGGUACCUUUUGACUGACAAGAUCAGUAACAUUUGUAAGCUGAAUAUCAUGAGCAGUAUAGAGGUCUCAUGGGCACUUCAUUGCAGUUUGCACUAGGUGACAUUAUUGCAUAGUUUGUAAAUGCAGUAAUAGUUUAUUUUGUUUAAGAACAUACAAUUACUAAAGUCCACUUAAGCCUGCACUGUGUUGUACCUUGUGUAUUCUGUUUUAAAAUGGUCAGUUGUGCACAGUACUUCUUUUUGUGAAGUUCAAAUGGAUGCUAUAUAAUUGAUGUGUGUAAAAUAUACAUACUGAUACUAAUUGCACUUAGUAUUUUACAAUGUGUUGUAAAUUGUGUAUCCCUCAUUUUGUUUUGCACUGUUCUGUUGUAUAUAGUACUUUUGUGCAUACCUACACAUUAUGCUCUAAAAGUACAUAUUGAGCAAUGAUUUAUUACAAUUAAUUUAACAUCAACCAUACAUCAUGCAUUAUAUGCAAUUUAUUUGAUUUUGACUAAAAUGGAAAGUUUGUACUUUGGUAAACCUUAAACUAUUGGUUUUGUGAUGAUGUAAACUAAACAAA